Molecule: transfer RNA, 71 nt
Filed under: archaeon
Lineage: Archaea
Also listed under: 1 other name
Description: tRNA-His
Rfam family: tRNA
About the family: Transfer RNA (tRNA) molecules are approximately 80 nucleotides in length. Their secondary structure includes four short double-helical elements and three loops (D, anti-codon, and T loops).
Source: RNAcentral
GCCCGCGCAGUGUGGUGGUCGCAUACAAGCCUGUGGAGCUUGUGGUACGGGUUCAAAUCCCGUCGUGGGCA